RNAcentral lists this ribosomal RNA (443 nucleotides) under Salmonella enterica. RNAcentral describes it as "partial 23S ribosomal RNA". It matches the Rfam family "Bacterial large subunit ribosomal RNA", at positions 2190 to 2632 of the family's 2925-position model. The record is from RNAcentral. RNAcentral also lists the same sequence under 1 other name. Lineage: Bacteria; Pseudomonadati; Pseudomonadota; Gammaproteobacteria; Enterobacterales; Enterobacteriaceae.
CCUUGAAAUACCACCCUUUAAUGUUUGAUGUUCUAACGUGGACCCGUGAUCCGGGUUGCGGACAGUGUCUGGUGGGUAGUUUGACUGGGGCGGUCUCCUCCUAAAGAGUAACGGAGGAGCACGAAGGUUGGCUAAUCCUGGUCGGACAUCAGGAGGUUAGUGCAAUGGCAUAAGCCAGCUUGACUGCGAGCGUGACGGCGCGAGCAGGUGCGAAAGCAGGUCAUAGUGAUCCGGUGGUUCUGAAUGGAAGGGCCAUCGCUCAACGGAUAAAAGGUACUCCGGGGAUAACAGGCUGAUACCGCCCAAGAGUUCAUAUCGACGGCGGUGUUUGGCACCUCGAUGUCGGCUCAUCACAUCCUGGGGCUGAAGUAGGUCCCAAGGGUAUGGCUGUUCGCCAUUUAAAGUGGUACGCGAGCUGGGUUUAGAACGUCGUGAGACAGUUC